UCAGCUUGCCAAAGUUGUUAGGAUUACAGGCAUGAGCCACUGUGCCUUGCCAGCACAGUAUUUCUUAAGGGGGUACUCCACUAUUGAAUCUGGUAUUUCCUUCCAAGUCAGCCAUACCCAUUCUGUAAAUUUGGUGACUGGCACUUUCCCACUGGACUAAGCUCAUAGUUAAAUAAGCAGGCAGCUUCCAUCAAACUCAUGCUUGCCAUCCUAAAAGUGAUCCAAAUGAUGAACAAAUUAUUUACAAUAGCUUCUCAUUCUUUGAAAUGUUUAAAAUCUAUUCUAAGGCUUGUCCAUUCCUCUUGCCUUCCAUUGCAUGGGUUAGUAUGUAAACAACACAUGCAUGGCCAGCAAGGCUGAAAACUCAAUUACGGUGACCCCAAUAGAAAUAGCCACACCCAAGUUUUCCCUUGCUUAGGUCAGGCCAGGUACUCAUGUCUGUGCCCACGCAGCAGGGAUUGUAAGACACAUUCUAAUUGCAGAGAUAAUAAAAUGUUCAGAAGUGAGACCCUUAGAAACGGUGGCAUGUGAUGCUCUUCUUUUAUUGCUUCUCCUAGCAUUGUCCCUUUUAUGAUUCUGCUUUAACUCAAACUGUCAGAAAGGGUGUAGCAACAAGCAAUAUGACUGUGGUGCCCAGGAUUCCAAAAAGAAUCCUUCAGUGUUACCAUGCCAACCAGCAUCCAUCCCAAGAGUUGCCUCUGAAUAAGCCACAGUUGGAGGGGCCUCGUUCGAGAAUCUAAGUGGAGUCAAAGUUCUGCUUCACCAAGGCCCACAAAAUGGUAGCAGUAGACUCAUUCCAGUUGUCCAGAGUCCACCCACUUUGAACUUAGAACAAAGAGAACUCUCCAUCCAGAGUUUGGAUAACUCUCCCAUCAAGGUUAACUGACAUUGAGAUCACCAUGUCUUCGCAACAUGAAACAAUGCGCACCAUGCAAAUACUCUUCUUUCUCCCAGAGAAAGCAUGUGAAUGCUUGGGCAACAUUUAGAAAUUGCCGAUGUGGCAUCUCCAGGAGACUUGCUUUUUCACACAUGGCCUGAGUUCCUUCCUUCCCAGCACGCCUGCCUGCCAAAUCUCAUCCCUACCUCUGCCUGAGGCCUCCAGAUGUUAGUAGUGAUGGAUGGAAACAGGACCAGGACUGAAUCCAUACGUGGUCACAGCACCACUGCCCCUGGUUCCUGGAGGCAGCCUGGAGAGGAAGCUUUAUUCCUCAUUAGUGAGAGAGCUGAUGGCUACAUGUUGACAUGAAGGACUCCUUUUGUUGUAUUCAACAUAAAGCCCCUUUCCCCAAACUCUUACUCUGGUUUCUUUAUUUUCCUACUCCCUCUACUACCUCCAACUCUUUUUCUUUUCUUUCUUUCUUUCUUUCUUUUUUUUUUUUUUUUUGCUGGAACUUUAUUGUGGUAUAAUUUACUUAACAAAGUUUACUCAUUUCAAGUGUAUGAUUCUCAGUACAUUUAAAAUUGAGCAACCCAUAUACACCAUGGAAUACUAUGCAGCCAGAAAAAAUGAUGAGUUCAUG
This 1520-nucleotide long non-coding RNA is filed under the name Homo sapiens (human). Its description in RNAcentral is "HSALNT0354399". The record is from RNAcentral. Lineage: Eukaryota; Metazoa; Chordata; Mammalia; Primates; Hominidae.